AGCUGACCAGGCUACAAAUGACGCUUAUGCACGAAAGUGCGGGGAUCGAACAGGAUUAGAUACCCUGGUAGUCCGCACAGUAAACCGAUGAAUACUUGUUUUCGGCGAUAAACAGUCGGAGACAAAAGCGAAAGUGAUAAGUAUUCCACCUGGGGAGUACGCCCGGCAACGGUGAAACUCAAAAGGAAUUGACGGGGGCCUGCACAAAGCGGAGGAACAUGUGGUUUAAUUCGAUGCUACGCGAGGAACCUUACCCGGGCUUGAAAGUUAUCGACGGAGGCUGAAAGGCCUCUUCCCUUCGGGGCGAGAAACUAGGUGCUGCAUGGUUGUCGUCAGCUCGUGCCGUGAGGUGUCGGCUUAAGUGCCAUAACGAGCGCAACCCUUUUCUCCAGUUACCAUCAUUAAGUUGGGGACUCUGGAGACACUGCCAUCGCAAGAUGUGAGGGAGGAGGGGAUGACGUCACAUCAGCACGGCCCUUACGGACGUUGACGGGCGGUGUGUACAAUGGGAAGGACAGCGUGGAACGCGGCGUGACGCAAAGGGAAUCUUCAAACCUCCAGCCAGUUCGGAUUGGAGUCCGCACUCACUCCGAGAAGCAG
This 600-nucleotide ribosomal RNA is filed under the name uncultured bacterium. RNAcentral's name for it is "bacterial SSU rRNA". It matches the Rfam family "Bacterial small subunit ribosomal RNA", at positions 723 to 1328 of the family's 1533-position model. The record is from RNAcentral.